AGUUUAGACAGAGAGCUCAUUCAUCCAUGGUGACGCUGUUGGGUGUGAUUUGCCAGUCACUGAGAUGCCCUUGUUUUUUUUUUUUUUCUUGCAGAACCAUCUGCAGUUGGUGAAAAAUAACCCACUACAGCUAGUGAACAUUUCCCACCUUUUAUCCUCUGGCUUCAUAGGGCUGUGACAGACGGUGCCCCAGCAGGUACUAUGCAGCUCAACUGCCAAAGGUGUUGCUGUUCAGAAGUCCUAGAGACGGUGAUCUGCCCCAGCAAACAGACUUCUGCAGAACAAGCUGCUGUACCUAGGAACCAACCAACUCUUCUCAAGUAGGUGUGUCUAACUAAAAUAAAACCACCGAGGAAACUGCCUUGAUACUAAACUUCCCUAAACCAGGUCUCAGCAGAAGAAAAAAGCAUCCCUCCUACCUCAUUUCUCCUUUCGGAGGCUAGCAGGAAAUUAAAAAAGGAAAGGAGUUCCAUGCAGUAUUUCUGACAGCAAAUUUCUCAGAAUCCAGAGAUACUUCUUUUCUCUGUAAUAAGUAGCUGCAGAUACAAAGGAGCACUUAUGAUCGAUGACUAUCUCUGUUUGCAGGAGCGAUAAUUCCUGAACACACAGUUCUCGAUUAAAAUACAAAUGCAUUUUCAACUGCGUAUUUAUUUAUCUAUGUUUUAGUCUUACUUGACAAAAUGUGAAAAGAAUCCAGUAAAGUUGGGCUCUAGUAUACUGCAGAAGUGAAACUGAAGUAAGGAGAUUUUUAAAUGGGGAGGGAACAUCCAUUUCUAUCUCUCGGUCCCUGAGUUCUCAUGUAGGAGUAGGUGAGAAACUAAGGCUUGCAGAAAUGAAAUAACCUGGUCAGAGCACCAGUACAUGACUGAUGUAUGAAUCAAAGUUUGUUUGACCCUGCAAGAUACAGUCACCUAUUGCAAGAGUCCACCUCCCAAAUCUAUCAACUCUUGGCUUACUUACUGUGUUCAAAUACAGAACGUUACGGAUAUUCAAAACCAACUGAGAUUUCCAAAACAAUAAAAACAAGAGACAAAUGUGAAAUUCUUUCCAUUGAGCCAGCAUUUCUAAAAUUUCAGAUUAAGAAAUGGCUUCAUGAGUAGGGACAACCAAGACAACAACUUAUAUAUAAUUUAGGGCUUUUGGACUCUGGAGUAACAGCACUUAGGUUGUGGAAUGCUUCUAAAUGUCUUCUGAUAUUUUAUAAGGAUGUUCAGCUUAUUUGCCAAUAGGUGCAUCUAUUUGCAUACUCACUUUCACAUAUGGAACAUUCUUUCCUGUUUCAAAAUAAUAGAGAAAAAAAUAAAGAUAUGAACUAUCUUUCUAUUUAUGUUUUAAUUCUGAAAGAUAACUAUUUGUUUAACUAAUAAGUUCUGCCCUGAUUAGAGGACAUUAAUGAUCAUUAAUUAUUAAAAAUGUGUUUGUAUUUUCAAUGUUUGCAUUUCACACCUCUCAUCAAGAAGCUAAGCUCAACUAACCCUGUCUUUUGUUAAGGCUUGCAAUCAGAUUUUUACUUCCUUAAUAAAUAUUUCAUUAUACUUUGCUGAAAA
Sapajus apella (tufted capuchin) is the source of this 1547-nucleotide long non-coding RNA. RefSeq lists it as uncharacterized. Lineage: Eukaryota; Metazoa; Chordata; Mammalia; Primates; Cebidae. The transcript is spliced from 4 exons. The record is from RefSeq and is a predicted model, not a curated record.